AAAUUUCAAAUACAAAAGGGGAAAUAACUCUCAUAUGGAGUCUCUAUACGGCUUCGGUCAAAAUAAAACAGAACAUCCUGAGGAUGUAACGAGCAAUUUGGUAAAAUAAAUUUGUCGUAAUCUUUUAUGGUUGCGAAGGAGUAGUGGCCACAAGAAAAACAGUGUUUGGGGAGAUAACUCUUACAACGUAAAGUAUUUGGUUACGCAGUGGUCAGUUUUAAAAGUGCAUACGCUUUACGAUAUCAUAUUCCAAAUAUAUCUAAGCGACAUCUUUUGAAACAUCAAUACUACGCAAGAAAAAAAUUAGGCGGAAGAAAAAAAAAAAAAUAAUAAUAAUUAAAAACCAAUUGUUCAAAGAACAAUUGAAGGUCUUUCAACCAAUAAGGAUCUAUUUUGAUAUGAAAAUAUUAAAAUUCAGUUGAAAAUGUCAGUUCCUAUGGCUUAAUGAUGUAUAAAAAUGAAUUUCGAAGCAAAGGUCAAAAUCUAGAACGUCCAAUUUAACCUAUGACCUUGACCUCAAUUUCAAGGUCAUAAACAUAGGAUCCCAAAUCAAAAAGACCCUAGGUUCUGUAAUAUGUAUGGUUCAUGAGUAAUAAUCACUUUACGCAUAAUUCUUAAAUAUAAGAGGGGCGAAAACUCCCAUUUUAUUGUCUUACGCACCCUUGUAACCAAAAUUUAUAAGUUACGACAUGUCGCAACUAACAAUUUAGUAAAAAUAAUUUGUCGAAAUCUUAUAAGGUUAAUGAAAAUAAGUGAAAAUAAGCCAAAAUCAAAAUUUAAAAUUUGACCUUGACCUUUGACCUUGACCUAAUUUUCAUUUUUUUGGACCAAGGAUCUUAAAUCAAAAGACCCUAGGUCUCUAUCACUUAUGGUUUACCAGUUAGAAAUGCAUAUCACUUAUAUCAUAUAUAAAAGGGGGGAUAACUCUCAUAUGGAGUCUCCGGAUAGCUUCGGUCAAAAUGAAACAGAACAUCCUGAGGAUAUAACGAGCAAUUUGGAAAAAUAAAUUUGUCGGUUUCUUAUACGGUUGCGAAGCCUUAGAGGCCACAAGAAAAACAGUGUUCGGGGAGAUAACUCUUACAAGGUAAAGUUUUUUGUUACGCGGUGUCAGUUUCAGAAGCGCAUUAACUGUUCGAUAUCAUAUACCAAAUAUCUAAGCGACAUCUUGUGAAACAAAAAAACAGCGAAGGAAAAAAAAGUUGGCGGAAGAAAAAAAAUAAAAAUAAUAAUAAUAAUUAAAAACCAAUUGUUCAAAGAACAAUUGAAGGUCUUUCAACCAAUAAGGAUCUAUUUAGAUAUGAAAAUAUUAAAAUUCAGUUGAAAAUGUCAGUUCCUAUGGCUUUAAUGAUGUAUAAAUAUGAAUUUUAAGCAAAGGUCAAAAUCUAGAACGUCCAAUUAACCUAUGACCUUGACCUCAAUUUCAAGGUCAUAGACUAAACAUCUCAAAUAAAAAGACACUAGUUCCUUAAUAUGUAUGGUUCAUGAGUAAAAUCACUUUACGCAUAAUUCUUAAUAUAAGAGGGGCGAAAAACUCCCUUUUAUUGUUUACGCACCCUCGCAACCAAAAUUUAUAAGUUACGACAUGUCGCAACUAACAAUUUAGUAAAAAAAAAAUUGUCGAUAUCUUAUAAGGUUAAUGAAAAAAGGUGAAAAUAAGCCAAAAUCAAAAUUUAAGAAUUUGACCUUGACCUUUGACCUUGACCUAAUUUUCAUUUUUUUGGACCAAGGAUCUUAAAUCAAAAGACCCUAGGUCUCUAUCACUUAUAGUUUACCAGUUAGAAAUGCAUAUCACUGAUAUCAUAUAUAAAAGGGGGGAUAACUCUCAUAUGGAGUCUCCGGAUAGCUUCGGUUGAAAUGAAACAGAACAUCCUAAGGAUAUAACGAGCAAUUUGGAAAAAUAAAUUUGUCGGUUUCUUAUACGGUUGCGAAGGAGUAGUGGCCACAAGAAAAACAGUGUUUGGGGAGAUAACUCUUACAAGGUAAAGUUUUUUGUUACGCGGUGUCAGUUUCAGAAGCGCAUUAACUGUUCGAUAUCAUAUACCUUAAUAUCUAAGCGACAUCUUGUGAAACAAAAAAACAGCGAAGGAAAAAAAAGUUGGCGGAAGAAAAAAAAAAAAAAAAAAUAAAUAAAAAAA
This 2135-nucleotide long non-coding RNA is filed under the name Mytilus galloprovincialis (Mediterranean mussel). The record is from RNAcentral. Lineage: Eukaryota; Metazoa; Mollusca; Bivalvia; Mytilida; Mytilidae.